This 497-nucleotide ribosomal RNA is filed under the name uncultured bacterium. RNAcentral's name for it is "partial 16S ribosomal RNA". It matches the Rfam family "Bacterial small subunit ribosomal RNA", at positions 28 to 507 of the family's 1533-position model. The record is from RNAcentral.
GAUGAACGCUGGCGGCGUGCCUAAUACAUGCAAGUCGAGCGAACAGACGAGGAGCUUGCUCCUCUGACGUUAGCGGCGGACGGGUGAGUAACACGUGGAUAACCUACCUAUAAGACUGGGAUAACUUCGGGAAACCGGAGCUAAUACCGGAUAAUAUAUUGAACCGCAUGGUUCAAUAGUGAAAGACGGUUUUGCUGUCACUUAUAGAUGGAUCCGCGCCGCAUUAGCUAGUUGGUAAGGUAACGGCUUACCAAGGCGACGAUGCGUAGCCGACCUGAGAGGGUGAUCAGCCACACUGGAACUGAGACACGGUCCAGACUCCUACGGGAGGCAGCAGUAGGGAAUAUUCCGCAAUGGGCGAAAGCUUGACGGAGCAACACCGCGUGAGUGAUGAAGGUCUUCGGAUCGUAAAGCUCUGUUAUUAGGGAAGAACAAAUGUGUGAGUAACUAUGGACGUCUUGACGGUACCUAAUCAGAAAGCCACGGCUAACUACGUG